RNAcentral lists this ribosomal RNA (791 nucleotides) under uncultured bacterium. RNAcentral describes it as "bacterial SSU rRNA". It matches the Rfam family "Bacterial small subunit ribosomal RNA", at positions 8 to 796 of the family's 1533-position model. The record is from RNAcentral.
AGAGUUUGAUCAUGGCUCAGAUUGAACGCUGGCGGCAUGCUUUACACAUGCAAGUCGAACGGCAGCGCGGGGGCAACCCUGGCGGCGAGUGGCGAACGGGUGAGUAAUAUAUCGGAACGUACCCAAGAGUGGGGGAUAACGUAGCGAAAGUUACGCUAAUACCGCAUACGAUCUCAGGAUGAAAGCAGGGGACCGCAAGGCCUUGUGCUCCUGGAGCGGCCGAUAUCUGAUUAGCUAGUUGGUGAGGUAAAGGCUCACCAAGGCGACGAUCAGUAGCUGGUCUGAGAGGACGACCAGCCACACUGGAACUGAGACACGGUCCAGACUCCUACGGGAGGCAGCAGUGGGGAAUUUUGGACAAUGGGGGCAACCCUGAUCCAGCAAUGCCGCGUGAGUGAAGAAGGCCUUCGGGUUGUAAAGCUCUUUUGUCAGGGAAGAAACGGCUGCGGCUAAUAUCCGCGGCUAAUGACGGUACCUGAAGAAUAAGCACCGGCUAACUACGUGCCAGCAGCCGCGGUAAUACGUAGGGUGCAAGCGUUAAUCGGAAUUACUGGGCGUAAAGCGUGCGCAGGCGGUUUUGUAAGUCUGUCGUGAAAUCCCCGGGCUUAACCUGGGAAUUGCGAUGGAGACUGCAAGGCUGGAGUCUGGCAGAGGGGGGUAGAAUUCCACGUAGCAGUGAAAUGCGUAGAGAUGUGGAGGAACACCGAUGGCGAAGGCAGCCCCCUGGGUCAAGACUGACGCUCAUGCACGAAAGCGUGGGGAGCAAACAGGAUUAGAUACCCUAGUAGUCC